This 253-nucleotide ribosomal RNA is filed under the name uncultured bacterium. RNAcentral's name for it is "partial 16S ribosomal RNA". It matches the Rfam family "Bacterial small subunit ribosomal RNA", at positions 524 to 776 of the family's 1533-position model. The record is from RNAcentral.
UACGGAGGGUUCGAGCGUUAAUCGGAAUUACUGGGCGUAAAGCGUGCGCAGGCGGUUUGUUAAGCGAGAUGUGAAAGCCCUGGGCUCAACCUAGGAAUAGCAUUUCGAACUGGCGAACUAGAGUCUUGUAGAGGGGGGUAGAAUUCCAGGUGUAGCGGUGAAAUGCGUAGAGAUCUGGAGGAAUACCGGUGGUGAAGGCGGCCCCCUGGACAAAGACUGACGCUCAGGUGUGAAAGCGUGGGGAGCAAACAGG